Long non-coding RNA from Megachile rotundata (alfalfa leafcutting bee), 2278 nucleotides. The record is from RefSeq and is a predicted model, not a curated record. NCBI's taxonomy places the organism in Eukaryota, Metazoa, Arthropoda, Insecta, Hymenoptera, Megachilidae.
UCUCUCUACAGCUGACUUUUACUUUUGUGGUCAUUUAUAUGGUGGGAAAAAUAAACCAACAACAGUCGAUGGUAAUAUAAAUGAAAUAAAAAUUAUUACAACUGACGAACAGAACGUAUUGCGAUGAUAAAAUAUUUAUAAAAUAUAUUUUCACGUUCAAUAGGAAGGAUUUUACAGCGUUGUUUACAAUAUGGAACGAAAUUAGAGUAACAAUUUAAUUUCAAAUAAAGUGUUGAACUACAAAUUAAAUAAUUCAAUUAUAAGUUUUUCGAUAAUAAAUUCUUUAUUUCUCCCUUCAUUGUAUAUACAUUAUUAUUUAGUACAAAAAUUUCACACGCAUACACUGACACACACAUUACUAUCCGUGCUUAAUUUUCACAAACUGCGUUCGUGAUCAUUCGAGUUUUGAAUAUCGUUUGUUAAGUAAGUUUAAUUAUUUUUCGCAUCCUAAUUUCUGGCUUAUUAGGAUAAAACGUAUAAAAAUUUACUGACCUAGGGAUAUUUUUUGUUCGAUUCUUUAACAUUUAUUAUACUACAUCAUUAAUCUGUAUUUUUUGUUUUUCAAUAACUGCUUCAAUUUUUUUAUUCAUUAUGUACAUCAUCACAAAUCUGUGCCCAUAUUACUUUCGAAUAUCUCUGGAAUAUAUAUACAAUUGCUACAUGUCUUCAUGAAGUGCUUGUGCAAGCGCCAUCUUUUUCCAGGAAAAGGGAGUGUGAGCGCGAUUUCUGAUUUAAUCAUUUUUAAUUUAAACACGAUACGUCAGAAUAUUUUUUUACCUAUUAUAAUCACUUACAUAUUAGUAUUCUACAUAACCAAAUUGAAUGUUGUUUAAUAAAUUACUGUAACAUGAUAUUAAUAAAUAAUUUGAAAAGUAAUUUGAUAAAUAUUAUGUAAGGACUUUAAAGGAAGCUAGAAAAGAAAGGUAGAAAACAGUAUAAUGUUAAUUACAGCAACUAAAUACAAGUAUCUUUUGUAUAACAAAACAAUGAAGACAUUCUGUUAAAUUUUUCGAUGGAAAGAAAGUAUCAAAAUAAACUGAGAAGAUAAAUUUAAUUUAUUUAUUUAGUUAUUCAUUCAAAAGGAGAUCAUGCUCAUCACACGACGUGUUUUCAUUCGUCCUGCGCAUGUCACUUCGUAACCAAGAGUAACGCGCGUGCGCCUUUAUGUCAUUCGUGACAACAAAUAUAUAUAUGUAUACAUAUAUAUAUUGGUAAUCUUUUAUUUUGUGUACUUUCUGCAUCUUUACUUUUUCUACUUAUUCAUUUAAUGAUUAUUUUGUUUAUUGUAUAUAUGACGACGGCGUUCACUAAUUGGUGAAGAGUCAAUUGAAAAUAACCACGAUACACGAAUUGAAUAUGAUCUCUCGUUGAAUGAAUAACUGAUAAUACAUUUUAUCCCAUACUAUUAAUUUCAUCACUGUAAGUAGGCUAUUAAAUGAGCCGUUUGUAUAGACAUUUAUGCAUAAUAAAUCAGUUACAUGUGUAUAAACCACGAGCAUAGAAAUAUAGGGAUGAUCUGUAAGUUUGGAUUAUUCAUUAGAGUGAAAACAACAUAAAAAGGAGAUCUUAGUAAUUGAUGCCUACAUUUAAUUGGUUACUGUUUUGCGCAUGUCUGUACCGCCAAUUACGAGAAAUUAUGAACUACCGAUUAAAACACAUUUUUAAGUUAAUAGCAAGUAAACCUUUUUUUUACACAUGCACCACUAUUUUAAAAAUUUAGAUUUUUAAGCUUAGCAAUUUAGAAACAUCAAAUUUAAAAAUUUUUAAUUUACAAAUUUUAAAAUUCAAAAGUUCUAAAUUUUCAAUUUGGUGGUGCACCCAAUGGCAGUUUUAUGGCUUCAUCCUGCAAUUGUAUACUCUAUCCCUAUAUUCCUAGAUACAUGGUAUAAUAAACCCAAUAACACUGAAAUCUAGCUGCUAAAAAUAUUUGAUUAAAUUGAAAGUUAAUCUCUUCUUCAAACAUUAUAAUUCAUCUAACCUAGUAAUACAUAUAUCAACUUGGUUCUAAUAUUGUAAUAAGCCAUGCGAAUGGCAGUAAGAAACACUCCAAAUAAUAAUCAUGGACAAGUCAAGUAAGUCGUAGGGCAUGGGAAUUUAUUUCUUUAUAAUUGUUUAUUGAUCUUUUUGUAUCAUAGUUCAGUGAUUAUUUCUUAUUUUUUAAAAUUGAAUUUAAAAAUCACAUUUGUUUUAACUCAUAUUUUCAUUGAACUGCUUUGUUCAACCAUUGAAGGUUAAAUUCAAACUUAAGUACAAUAUAAUGUAAUGCAGUUAUUAAUUA